This 368-nucleotide ribosomal RNA is filed under the name Glomus sp. S57. Its description in RNAcentral is "LSU rRNA". The record is from RNAcentral. Lineage: Eukaryota; Fungi; Glomeromycota; Glomeromycetes; Glomerales; Glomeraceae.
UUGAAAGGGAAACGAUUGAAGUCAGUCGUACCGACGAGGAAUCAACCUUUUGAGAGUGGAUAUGUGGGAUUCAAAGUGCCUUUGUUUUUCGCAUCAUCUGCUUUUUUUGGGCGUACUUUUUCGUAUGGUAGGUUAACAUCGGUUUUGAUCGUUAUAAAAUGACUGGAGGAAUGUAGCUUUGAUCUUGUAUUGAAGUGUUAUAGCCUUUGGUAGAUGUAACGGUUAGGAUCGAGGAUUGCAAUGGAUACCCUUAUGGGCUAUCCGUCUGGCCUCUGAUUUGUCACUUUGGUGCUGAAAGCGUGCUUAUGGUAUUAAAGUGUACGGUCAAAAGGUUAGAACGGAAUAAAUUCGUUAAGGAUGUUGACGUA